This 253-nucleotide ribosomal RNA is filed under the name uncultured bacterium. Its description in RNAcentral is "partial 16S ribosomal RNA". It matches the Rfam family "Bacterial small subunit ribosomal RNA", at positions 524 to 776 of the family's 1533-position model. The record is from RNAcentral.
GACAUAGGUGGCGAACGUUAUCCGGAAUUAUUGGGCGUAAAGGGCGCGUAGGCGGCCUGGCAAGUGGAAGGUGAAAUCCCUCGGCUUAACCGAGGAACUGCCCUCCAAACUGCUUGGCUUGAGUCCGGGAGAGGUGAGUGGAAUUCCCAGUGUAGCGGUGAAAUGCGUAGAUAUUGGGAGGAACACCAGUGGCGAAGGCGGCUCACUGGACCGGAACUGACGCUGAGGCGCGAAAGCGUGGGGAGCAAACAGG